GGAGUAGUGGCUCAGUGGUAGAGCGCUUGCCUGGCAUGUAUGAGACUCUGGGUUUGAUCCUCAGUACCACA
Molecule: transfer RNA, 71 nt
Filed under: Marmota monax (woodchuck)
Lineage: Eukaryota; Metazoa; Chordata; Mammalia; Rodentia; Sciuridae
Description: tRNA.Ala
Rfam family: tRNA
About the family: Transfer RNA (tRNA) molecules are approximately 80 nucleotides in length. Their secondary structure includes four short double-helical elements and three loops (D, anti-codon, and T loops).
Source: RNAcentral